This 520-nucleotide long non-coding RNA is filed under the name Phoenix dactylifera (date palm). Its description in RNAcentral is "long non-coding RNA (PDAC_LNC017079)". Lineage: Eukaryota; Viridiplantae; Streptophyta; Magnoliopsida; Arecales; Arecaceae. The record is from RNAcentral.
CGAGUCGACUCGACUGUCCUUGGAGUCGACUCGAAUCUCAGAGCCCGAACUCCCGAUUCUCUGUCUUUUGGCUCAUCCAGUCUUGGAGUCGACUCGAACUUCCUUGGAGUCGACUCGGCUCUCAGUUUCCGAAAGUUGGUCUUCUGCCUUUUGAUGUGAAGCUUGUCUUGGAGUCGACUCGAGCUGUCUGGGAGUCGACUCGAAUCUCAGAGGCAGUAACAUGGUUUUCUGUCUGUCGAUGGUCGCACAGUCUCGGAGUCGACUCGCGUAUUGCGGGAGUUGACUCGAAUCUCAGAGUCCAUAAAAUGCUCUUUGACCUUUUCUUUGUGUACCGCUGAGAGUCGACUCUUGCUUUCUCUGGAGUCGACUUGCCAACCAUCGGAGUCGACUCGCGUUCCACUGGAGUCGACUCGAAUCUCAGACUCGAAAACUGCUCUCUGACUUUUCUUUGUGUACCUCUUGGAGUCGACUCUUACUACCCUGGAGUCGACUCGUUGAACAUUGGAGUCGACUCGCGCAC